CUCUGCCAACACAUGGGAAUGGGAUCAACUCUGCCUUCCCCCCUUAUCCAAUCUCUUCCUCUUUGUAAUCGACUCCCAGUCCACACCUUCACCAUAUGCAGUAACAUCAGAACCAAUUCACAAGAAAAUGGUACUAUCCCCAGCUUUGACCUCCACACCCUCUUCGUUCAACCCCUUCUUAACGCUUUCUCAUUUUCACCCAUUCACGACUUUCCCCAUAACUUCCAAUGCCAAAAAUGUGAACCAUUCUUGUUUAAUUGUGAAGGCUCAGACUUUAGAAUUUUCGGGUUCCUUCUUUGAACGUGGGUUCGGGGGAGAUGACGACCCGCCAACUGCUCCCGGGUCGGGCAUUACCGCUGUUGAAGAUAAAGAGGAGCCCCAGUGCCCUCCUGGCUUGAGGCCAUAUGAAACUAUGGCGGUUUUGAGGCCUGAUAUGUCUGAAGAUGAGCGACUCGCUCUUACCCAGAAGUAUGAAGAGUUGCUUGUUGCUGGUGGUGGCAUGUAUGUGGAGGUGUUCAACCGAGGGGUUAUUCCCCUUGCCUACAGCAUCAGGAGGAAAAAUAAAGCUGGAGAAACCAAUACUUACUUGGACGGGAUCUACUUGCUGUUUACUUACUUUACCAAACCCGAAUCCAUGACAGCUCUCGAGGCAACACUCAAUACUGAUGAUGAUGUUAUACGCUCAUCCAGCUUCAAAAUAAGGAAAAGAAAAUACUAGGUAGAUUGAUUAGUCGAUUCAUUUAGCGGUGAAAGGGGAUGAUCGGGAGGAGACAGGUUAUGUGUUCGAGCCAGGAACCAACCACUAAUGCUUGGAUUAUAUCAUAUCUCUUUGGGUGCGGCUCUUCCUCGGUAGACGCGGAACCAAAAUUUGAAGCUUACGGGUUCAGUAUCUGGUUCUUUUACGUCACUUGAUUUUAAAUUAAUCAUUUGUACAUAUUCCAUGAAUUUCACAAAACAAAUACUUAAUUAACCCGUAAGCGAAGGUCUAGCUUCGCCUUUGUUCCU
RNA transcript from Nicotiana tabacum (common tobacco), 1005 nucleotides. It is a transcript of the gene named small ribosomal subunit protein bS6c, with no coding region annotated. The record is from RefSeq and is a predicted model, not a curated record. NCBI's taxonomy places the organism in Eukaryota, Viridiplantae, Streptophyta, Magnoliopsida, Solanales, Solanaceae.